CCUACGGGUGGCAGCAGUGAGGAAUAUUUGUCAAUGGGCUGGCGCCUGAACCAGCCAAGCCGCGUGAGGGAAGAAGGUACAGCGUGUCGUAAACCUCUUUUGUCAGGGAGCAACGCCGGGGACUAGUCCCCGGAUGGGGGUACCUGAAGAAAAAGCAUCGGCUAACUCCGUGCCAGCCACCGCGGUAAUACGGAGGAUGCGAGCGUUAUCCGGAUUUCUUGGGUUUAAAGGGUGCGUAGGCGGCCUGUUCAGUCAGCGGUAAAAGCCCGGGGCUCAACCCCGGCGCGCCGUUGAAACUGGCGGUCUGGAGUGGGCGAGAAGUACGCGGAAGGCGCGGUGUAGCGGUGAAAUGCAUAGAUAGCGCGCAGAACUCCGAUUGCGAAGGCAGCGUACCGGCUCCACACUGACGCUGAGGCACGAAAGCGUGGGUAUCGAACAGGAUUAGAUACCCUAGUAGUC
Molecule: ribosomal RNA, 459 nt
Filed under: uncultured bacterium
Lineage: Bacteria
Description: partial 16S ribosomal RNA
Rfam family: Bacterial small subunit ribosomal RNA
Source: RNAcentral